AGCACCUCUACCAUGGCCUGGGCUCCACUCCUCCUCACCCUCCUCGCUCACUGCACAGGGUCUUGGGCAGAGGUUGUGCUGACUCAGCCCAGCUCUGUGUCGGGGUCUCCUGGGCAGAAGGUCACCAUCUCCUGUGCCCGCAGCAGCGACAACACUGGGGAUUGUGCACUGCUACCAGCAGCGCCCAGGCAGUGCCCCCACCACUGUAAUCUACGAAGAUGAUGAAAGACCCUCUGAGGUUCCCGCUCGGUUCCCUGACUCCACUGACACCUCCUCCAGUGCCGCCUCCCUGACCAUCUCUGGGCUGAAGUCCGAGGACGAGGCCGACUACUGUUGUCAGUCUGGUUAUGACAGCAGUAAGAACACAGUGCUCCAGACCCAUGAGGAGGUCUGGUUUGUCCUCAUCUCUUCAUAA
Molecule: non-coding RNA, 415 nt
Organism: Vicugna pacos (alpaca)
Lineage: Eukaryota; Metazoa; Chordata; Mammalia; Artiodactyla; Camelidae
Source: the annotation of a RefSeq genome assembly